Plodia interpunctella (Indianmeal moth) is the source of this 936-nucleotide long non-coding RNA. RefSeq lists it as uncharacterized. Lineage: Eukaryota; Metazoa; Arthropoda; Insecta; Lepidoptera; Pyralidae. The transcript is spliced from 3 exons. The record is from RefSeq and is a predicted model, not a curated record.
GCGAACAAUUUGGCGAAUGUUCGCUGUUCGACUAUAUAAUCGUCGUAAUCCGAUUAGUGAAAUUAGUUUGUAGUUUCCCGGCUGACCCUUGUACUGUGCAUAAUAUGUUUGUGUGUAUUGUUUGGGUACUUAGAGGAGCACGGCAGAGAAUUAAUACAAUAAGAAUUUAAUACCGAGUAAAUCACCAGUGGACUAAGAUUAAUACAAGCCAAUCUCGAGCUUCGAGGCAUCACAAGAUCAGCCGAAAUUGGAACCGGGAACACGGUGAGAUAGAAAGAGAAAGGUGUCUUUGCAAGGAAUCUUGUCAUGAAGCUAACUGUAGUUUGUAUGACGAAGGAGAUUGAAGAGAAUAAGCUGGAAAGAAAGAAUCAGCAACGAAGAGGAGAAAAAAUAAACAUCUUGAAAUAUAUGGAAAAUAGAAGAGGGAAAAUGUAAUGAUUGAUACGACACGAUGCCUUCUUCAGAAUUAUUAUAGCAGGAAAGGUGGAAGGAAGAAGGGGCCCAGAAAGACCAAAGAAGCCCAAGAGAUUGUUACACCAAACAAAUUAAAGAAAAAGUGGGUGUCGUGUCGUAUCAACAAGUGAAGGAGUUGGCUUUGGAGGGAGAACAAUGGAAGUAACUCCACCGACAAGAGCCUCACUUUUAAAUUACAUGAUGAUGAUGAUGAUGAUGACGAAUAAAAUUUAAACUGUGUAAUACCUAUAUACAUAUAGUCUUAGUCUAACUAUUUACUAUUACUGCUGUACAAUUUAUUUUAUUCAAUAAUUUCUCGAUAAUUUCGUUUCAUCAAGGAAUAUCCUCAACUGGCGAGUGACAGACGAAGAAACAGAAAGGCAAGGCUUUUGUCCAGUAGUGGGACUUAAUAGCUGAAAAAAAAAUCAUGUACUUACUUACUUAUGUGUCUGAAUAUUACCGACUGAUUGCCAGUAUGGAUAC